This is a non-coding RNA of Octodon degus (degu), 509 nucleotides long. NCBI's taxonomy places the organism in Eukaryota, Metazoa, Chordata, Mammalia, Rodentia, Octodontidae. The record is from the annotation of a RefSeq genome assembly.
AGCAGCACAGUAACUGUGCACGAGGACACGGCCACAUGCUGCUCUCCGGCCUGCUGUGGGCGUCGGUGGCCUUCAUCCUCUCUGGACCCAGUGUCGCCCUGAAAGUGACCCAAGUCCAGCCACCCACAUCUGGGAGAGAAGGGGAAGUAGCCACGCUUGACUGUGAAUAUGAGACAGAACGGGGCACAGACUACCUUUUCUGGUACAAGCAGCUUCCCAGCGGAGAGCUGACAUUCCUCAUUCAGAGUGCUUCUGGUCAGACUAAAAGGACUGGGCGCUACUCCUUCAGUUUCGCAAAAGCUAACUCUAUGAGUUUCAGCUUCUCAGGUUUACAGAUGGAAGAUUCAGCAAAAUAUUUCUGUGCUAUUCGGGCAAGCACAGUGCUUGAAGUGGCAGUAAAGGCUGAACAAAAACUCAGGAGCUCCACAUGCGACAGGCCCUGGUGCAGAGCCCGGCUAAGACUAGCACCUGUGGCUUCCAGACCAGAACAGAGCACUGUGCUUUCUUAA